CGGGGUGCAGCAGGCGCGAAAACUUUACAAUGCUGGCAACAGCGAUAAGGGGACCUCGAGUGCCAGGAUACAAUCUUGGCUGUCGUGAUGCCUAAAAAGCAUUGCAUAGCAAGGGCCGGGCAAGACCGGUGCCAGCCGCCGCGGUAACACCGGCGGCUCGAGUGGUAACCGCUAUUAUUGGGUCUAAAGGGUCUGUAGCCGGCCGGAUAAGUCUCUUGGGAAAUCCGACAGCUCAACUGUCGGGCUUUCAGGGGAUACUGUUCGGCUCGAGGCCGGGAGAGGUGAGAGGUACUUCAGGGGUAGGGGUGAAAUCUUGUAAUCCUUGAAGGACCACCAGUGGCGAAGGCGUCUCACCAGAACGGUCCUGACGGCAAGGGACGAAAGCUAGGGGCACGAACCGGAUUAGAUACCCGGGUAGUCCUAGCCGUAAACGAUACUCGCUAGGUGUCGGCCACGGUGCGACCGUGGUCGGUGCCGUAGGGAAGCCGUGAAGCGAGCCACCUGGGAAGUACGGCCGCAAGGCUGAAACUUAAAGGAAUGGCGGGGGAGCACAAGGGCGAUUCGCG
RNAcentral lists this ribosomal RNA (566 nucleotides) under uncultured archaeon. RNAcentral describes it as "bacterial SSU rRNA". It matches the Rfam family "Archaeal small subunit ribosomal RNA", at positions 326 to 897 of the family's 1478-position model. The record is from RNAcentral.